Biomphalaria glabrata is the source of this 2025-nucleotide long non-coding RNA. RefSeq lists it as uncharacterized. The transcript is spliced from 3 exons. The record is from RefSeq and is a predicted model, not a curated record. NCBI's taxonomy places the organism in Eukaryota, Metazoa, Mollusca, Gastropoda, Planorbidae.
UAUUGUAGUAUAUAUAGGUCUGUGGUUGUAUUUUAUAUAGCCUUCGUAACUUCUUCUAUAGAGAAAUGACUUUUGUAAUUUCUUUUACUGAAAAUUGGGCUAUUCGCGUCUGACACAUAUAUAAUUUUUAUGUUCAGCAACAAACCCUAUUAGACCUAGGAAUAGAGUUGAAUAGACAGAUGUGUAACAUUUCGGUCUUUUCUAAUGAAAGAAUAUUGAGAUUGUUUGGGACAUGGGCACAAUUGAGGCCAUGGCGUGCCCUUAGUCCUUCUACCACCUCUAUUCAACAAGUACAGGAGGAAUGUUAAAAGCUAUACUAUUUACUAAGUCAACAAAUAAACAAAGGGAAAGAUUUGACCUAGACAAGCUCCAGAACACCCAGAUUAAAAAGAAUUCCAACUAUCCCUUCAAAAUAGAUUUGCUGUGCUACAACUAGAUGAGGCAGAACAAAGAGUUGAUAAAUCUUGGCAAAAUUUCAAAGAAAUUAUUACUGAAACAAGCAAUAAAGUACUAAGCUUUAACCCUAAGAAGAAAAAACACUGGAUUAGUGAUGAGACAUGCAAAUUAAUUGAAGAGAGGAAAUGCGCUAAACAGGCAGUUAACCUAGCAAAAACAAGAAACCACAAGCAACAAUCCAAACAAGACUACCAAGCAGUUUCACAAUAAGUCACUAAAAUGCUUAGGCAGGACAAACGAUCAUUAUAACAUAAUCUGGCAGAACAGGCAGAACAAGCAGUAGGUAAAGGUGUUAUAAAACAACUGUACAAAAUCACCAAACUUCUUAGUACCAAAAAGGCAAAUUGCAAUGUCCCAGUCCGAGACAAAUAUGGAAAACUACUUUCUUCAAUAAAUGAACAGCUUGAAAAAUGGAAAAAAUAUUUUCAAGAAGUGCUCAAUUUGACUCAAACCACUAAAUCCACCAAAUCUAAAUGCAGGACCAACACUAGACAUAAACAUGGAAGAAAAAACAAAAGAAGAAAUAUGGAAUGCACUCAAAUAAAUGAAGACGGGUAAAGCAGAUGGUAUUGACAACUUACCAUCCGAAGUCCUAAAAGAAUGAGGAAGUGAGAUAGUUGACCAACUGCACUAACUAUUCAACAAAAUUUGGUUAACAGAAACACCUCCCGGUGAGUGGAAAUCUAUCACAAUGUGAGAAAUGGCGAGGCAUCACUUUGUUGUCAGUACCAAGCAAGAUUUUCAGCAGAAUUUUGCUUAAAAGACCAGAUUCAGAAAAGGGAGAUCUUGUGCUUGUAGAACAAUGUGUCGAAUGGCAAUCUCUUCUUUAAGCAACAUUUGUUGACUUUGGACUUUGAAAAGGCCUUUGAUAGUACGGACAGAUAAUCUAUCUGGACAGUAAUGAGACAUUACGGGAUCCCAAAUAAAAGAAUAACAAUAAUUAAAAACCUUUAUAAUGGUUUCACCUGUCAAGUAGCCCACUGCAGCAAACUGUCAGAUGAAUUUCCAGUCACAACAGGAAUCAAACAGGGAUGUCACCACUCCUGUUCCUUCUAAUAUUGGAUUGGGUCACAAAAGAAGCCUACUCUAAUUUAGGGAAAUGAAUCCAAUGGACUUUCACAUCAACAGAUGUAUGAGAAAUAUCUUAAAAAUACACUGGUAUGACAAAGUAGAAAACACCAAACUGUGGGAGAUAAGUGGACAGAAAAAUAUAGAAGUGCAGAUUUUAGAGAGAAAGUGGAGAUGGAUUAAUCACACACCCUUAGAAAAGAUACCAACAAACAGAGCUAGAAUGGAAACCUCAGAGAACAAGAGUAGAGGAAGACCAAAAACAACAUGGAGACGCAGUAUACUACAUAAAGCAGAGAAGACAGGAAAGAGCUGGGAAGCCAUGAAAAAACUAGCAAGAGACCAUGGAGAGUGGCAUGUUUUUACUGAGGCCCUAUGUUCCACAAGGAACGCAAAGGAAAGAUAAUGAUGUAGUAUUCAGCACUUAUAUAAAUGUCUUUACAGAUUAAUGCUAGUAUAAUAUUAAAUAUAUAUUGGAAAAUUGCAUUGGCUAAGUUAAAU